Long non-coding RNA from Prinia subflava (tawny-flanked prinia), 2332 nucleotides. RefSeq lists it as uncharacterized. The record is from RefSeq and is a predicted model, not a curated record. The transcript is spliced from 3 exons. Lineage: Eukaryota; Metazoa; Chordata; Aves; Passeriformes; Cisticolidae.
GGUUAGGUGCCCAAACCCCCCUGCAGCUUAGGUGGAAUUGGGGGCGUUGCUGCCUCUGGUUCUGCUGCAUAAAAUGGGACAUGCAUGAAUGCACUUCACUGAUGUCACCAGCCACAACGUGUCCGCAGAUCAGUGACAACGCUUGAAAUAGUGGGCUGACCUCUUCCUGAUCCAGAGCCUUUUUGCUCCGGUGAAUUCUUCUGAUGCACUCAGCCUGACAUAAAUCAUCUGCAGGGCUUUUGCACUGCUCCUUGCCACUUAUUAUUUUCAGUGUGGACAUGAGUGAGGGAGGAGGAGAGACAGAGAGACUGAAGAAUUCUGAGAGCAGAGAAUGCUUGGGCAAAGGAUAGACCAAACAAAAAGGGACUCUGCAGGGCAGAUCUGGAAAGGCCUGGAGAAAGCAUGAUUUCAGAGCCAGAUGAAUUCCCAUCAGCCUGGAAUGCCUUGCAGCCAAUGUCUGAGAUUAAACACUCCUUUCUAAUUGCAGGGGCUAAUUCCAGCAGUAUCAAACUGAAGUCCACCAUUUCUGGACAGCAACUCCAAAAUCUGCAAGGUGCUAUGAGCCAUGUACCAGGUCCAAACCCUGCUGAUGUCCCUCUGCAUGGAGCACAGGGGGUUUGAGGCUGGAGGGAUCCCCUUCUCCUGCUGAUCCUCACACGGGGUCGACUCAUGGGAAUGGAGUGCCUGGGAAGCAAGGAGAGGAUCAGACUGCUCCACAGCUCUGCCUCUGGUUCCUUGGCUGUAGCCAGUGUGCAGCAAGGAGAUGUACUCAAUUCAGCCUGCCAACAUAACACCUCCAGAGACUUUCCAUUCACCCUCUAUCUUUUCCCAGUGCAACAUACGCACCUUGAGGCUUUUGUGGACACGCACGUAUAAGAACUCCUUUAAGAAAGUAUACAUGUUAUUUCUCUGGCUCCCUGGACUACAGUAGCAAUUAGGUCAUGCUAAGUUUCAUUGCUUAUCUCUGAGUUGAGGGAACGAGCAGCAGAAGCCAGAUAUUACUUACAUGCAGGGAUUAAGAACAUGACCCCAAAUGAACCCCAUUAACUUGCUCAGCAACUCAAAUGUCAUCAGUCUUAAAAAUCAGUGAACACUGAAUUAUGAAUAGUUUUCAUAAGGAAAGUUUGAGAAAUAUUGAUGUGACUCCUGAGCAGUGGGUUCCACAAUAUUAAUAUGAGCUGUGAAUCUAAUUAGAGCUACACACUCAGCAGAAUAUGGACAAAGACAAGGUUAAAGUAUCACCUUCUGUCUUUCAAAAAGAAUUGAGUGGCUUGCUUGAAAAUUCAUAUUUGAUAUUCCCGAGGUAGGUUAAAAAUGCAAUUACAAAAUAAACUAAUAAAUCCAAAGCUAAAAGGCUAUGUGCAAAGUAGGUGCCCUUCUCUUGUCCACAAGGACAAAAUUUAUUUGACUAAAUUUGAUCUUUCUUUUCUUUUGACAAUCUCCAUGUGCUUCCAUCAAAGGAAGUAACUUUUUUUUCAUCUCUCUAGUCCGACUUCAUCUCUUCCCCAAUUACAUUUGCUUUUUCUUUCAGUCCUGAGUGCAUUUUUACUUUCCCAGUCUUUCAAUAUCUCUACCAUGACCACAUGUAUAUAGCCCCUCUGUUAAAGAAUACAUAGCAUGCCUCUCAACCCCCUUCUAAUACAGUAGAGGAGCUUCUUGUUUGAAACAUUCUACAACAAAAUAGUAAAUGACAAGUAAUUGUUGUGCUUGGUCCUUUCUGUUGCUGGUGGGCAGUGGGAGAGGCUUUUCCCGGGAGGCACAAUUACUGGCACAACAUAGCACAAGUCUUACAAGCUGUGGUGUGGCCCUGCUGCCUUGGGAGAACAAAGAUGUAAGCAUUCACUAUACAUGUCCCAGCCCAUGAAUACCUAAGGUUGUUACAGUAAACGGGAUAGGAGGAAAUUAGAUUAUAAAUGGUGACUUGUUUUCUUACCAAUUGCCCACAAUAAACAUAUUUACAAUUCAGUGGUGUAAGAAAUUAUGGAUGUUCAAGAAAAGCCUGUUUGUAUCUCAGGCGUGGUGAACAAUGGGUGAAAUUCAGCCCCAUGUUGAAGUCCAUUAGAAUCAAUGGAGUUUCUUCUUCUUUGGGCUAUCAUUAAAGGCCAGUUGUGUCAUCUCUACCUCCAGACUGCUGAUGUGGAGCAGCCACAGUGGGUGUGCUGUUGGCUUGGUGGCUGUGCUGGUGCUACUUUUUCUGAUGGGGCACAUCAAGCAGCACCCACGGAAUCAGGGAGGGACAUUCCUGGGACCCCCCAACAGCAUUUUUCUGCAUGGUACCUCUUCUCUCCAAGGGCUCACCUUCAGUUUAACGAAGGAGAUGCCAAAUACCACC